This 479-nucleotide ribosomal RNA is filed under the name uncultured bacterium. Its description in RNAcentral is "bacterial SSU rRNA". It matches the Rfam family "Bacterial small subunit ribosomal RNA", at positions 28 to 506 of the family's 1533-position model. The record is from RNAcentral.
GACGAACGCUGGCGGCGUGCCUAACACAUGCAAGUCAACUUGACGGAAGGAGCAAUCUAACCGUAGAGUGGCGCAAGGGUGCGUAACGCGUAAGUAACUUGCCCCAAGGUAAGGAAUAACGUCGAGAAAUCGGCGCUAAUACCUCAUAAUGCAGCGGAUCCGCAUGGAUAUGUUGUUAAAGGUUUACCGCCUUGGGAUAGGCUUGCGUCUGAUUAGCUAGUUGGUGUGGUAACGGCACACCAAGGCUACGAUCAGUAACUGGUCUGAGAGGAUGAUCAGUCACACUGGAACCGAGACACGGUCCAGACUCCUACGGGAGGCAGCAGUGAGGAAUAUUGGGCAAUGCUCGAAAGAGUGACCCAGCAACGCCGCGUGGAGGAUGAAGGUAUUCUAUAUCGUAAACUCCUGUGAGAGCAGACGAAAGACAGAUUAUUAAUCUGGAUGACUGUAUGCUCAGAGGAAGCCCCGGCUAACUACGU